This 253-nucleotide ribosomal RNA is filed under the name uncultured bacterium. RNAcentral describes it as "partial 16S ribosomal RNA". It matches the Rfam family "Bacterial small subunit ribosomal RNA", at positions 524 to 776 of the family's 1533-position model. The record is from RNAcentral.
UACGGAAGGUCCGGGCGUUAUCCGGAUUUAUUGGGUUUAAAGGGAGCGUAGGCCGGAGAUUAAGCGCGUUGUGAAAUGUAGAUGCUCAACAUCUGAACUGCAGCGCGAACUGGCUUCCUUGAGUACGCAUAAAGUGGGCGGAAUUCGUGGUGUAGCGGUGAAAUGCUUAGAUAUCACGAAGAACUCCGAUUGCGAAGGCAGCUCACUGGGGCGCAACUGACGCUGAAGCUCGAAAGCGCGGGUAUCGAACAGG